AGAGUUUGAUCCUGGCUCAGGACGAACGCUGGCGGCGUGCUUAACACAUGCAAGUCGAACGGAAAGGCCCUUCGGGGUACUCGAGUGGCGAACGGGUGAGUAACACGUGGGUGAUCUGCCCUGCACUCUGGGAUAAGCCUGGGAAACUGGGUCUAAUACCGGAUAGGACCGCAUGCUUCAUGGUGUGUGGUGCAAAGCUUUUGCGGUGCGGGAUGAGCCCGCGGCCUAUCAGCUUGUUGGUGGGGUAAUGGCCUACCAAGGCGACGACGGGUAGCCGGCCUGAGAGGGUGACCGGCCACACUGGGACUGAGAUACGGCCCAGACUCCUACGGGAGGCAGCAGUGGGGAAUAUUGCACAAUGGGCGCAAGCCUGAUGCAGCGACGCCGCGUGAGGGAUGACGGCCUUCGGGUUGUAAACCUCUUUCAGUAGGGACGAAGCGAAAGUGACGGUACCUACAGAAGAAGGACCGGCCAACUACGUGCCAGCAGCCGCGGUAAUACGUAGGGUCCGAGCGUUGUCCGGAAUUACUGGGCGUAAAGAGCUCGUAGGUGGUUUGUCGCGUUGUUCGUGAAAACUCACAGCUUAACUGUGGGCGUGCGGGCGAUACGGGCAGACUAGAGUACUGCAGGGGAGACUGGAAUUCCUGGUGUAGCGGUGGAAUGCGCAGAUAUCAGGAGGAACACCGGUGGCGAAGGCGGGUCUCUGGGCAGUAACCGACGCUGAGGAGCGAAAGCGUGGGUAGCGAACAGGAUUAGAUACCCCGGUAGUCCAA
RNAcentral lists this ribosomal RNA (773 nucleotides) under uncultured bacterium. RNAcentral's name for it is "bacterial SSU rRNA". It matches the Rfam family "Bacterial small subunit ribosomal RNA", at positions 8 to 798 of the family's 1533-position model. The record is from RNAcentral.